UACGUAGGGUGCAAGCGUUGUCCGGAAUUAUUGGGCGUAAAGAGCUCGUAGGCGGUUUUGUUGCGUCGGCUGUGAAAUCCCGAGGCUCAACCUCGGGUCUGCAGUCGAUACGAGCAAACUAGAGUGUUGCAGGGGAGACUGGAAUUCCUGGUGUAGCGGUGAAAUGCGCAGAUAUCAGGAGGAACACCGGUGGCGAAGGCGGGUCUCUGGGCAGUAACUGACGCUGAGGAGCGAAAGCGUGGGGGAGCGAACAGG
Molecule: ribosomal RNA, 255 nt
Filed under: uncultured bacterium
Lineage: Bacteria
Description: partial 16S ribosomal RNA
Rfam family: Bacterial small subunit ribosomal RNA
Source: RNAcentral